RNAcentral lists this ribosomal RNA (378 nucleotides) under uncultured eukaryote. Its description in RNAcentral is "partial 18S ribosomal RNA". It matches the Rfam family "Eukaryotic small subunit ribosomal RNA", at positions 592 to 976 of the family's 1831-position model. The record is from RNAcentral.
CAAUAGCAUAUAUUAAAGUUGUUGCAGUUAAAAAGCUCGUAGUUGGAUUUCGGGUGGGACGCAGCGGUCUCGCAUUGCGUUUGUACUGCUGCAGCCCUCCUUCUUGCCGGGGGCGGCCUCUCGGACUUCACUGUCUGGGGGUCAGAAUCGGCGAUGUUACUUUGAGUAAAUUAGAGUGUUCAAAGCAAGCUUACGCUCUGAAUAUAAUAGCAUGGGAUAACACGACAGGACUCUGGCCUAUCGUGUUGGUCUAUAGGACCAGAGUAAUGAUUAAGAGGGACAGUCGGGGGCAUUCGUAUUCCGUUGUCAGAGGUGAAAUUCUUGGAUUUACGGAAGACGAACAUCUGCGAAAGCAUUUGCCAAGGAUGUUUUCAUUGA